UCAACUGACUGAGGAACCCAGGCAUCCCUACUUAACAUUUAUUUUAAAGUCAUUUUGCAUAUUGAUGAAUUAUUUUCCCAAAGGCCCAUAUCCAUUUAUACCGUCACCAACAGUAAAGGAGAAUUCACCUGCCUCAAGACAACUUCACCACUCUUUUCUCCUACUGCACGUGUCGUUCUCCACAUUCUCCUUAACCUGGGACCAGGUUUUGGGAAGAGCAUUGGGUGAGAGAGAACUGGACACUGGAACAUCCCUAAUUACUUGGGCUGUGUCACACUGGUAACUUCUAUAAUCAGCAAAUGUGAGCGGUACUAGCAUGGUAUUUAAGUGUAAGGACACUGAAGUCAGACAUUCAUUUCCUCAACAAAUAUUCAGUGAGUGCCUGUGAUUUUAGGAACUUCAUAGGCUAGCACCGUGUUAACAGUGAUGAAGAAAAUAAAUAUGGUUCCUGGCUUCUUAAAGCAUAAUAUGUUUAACAGUCAAUUUUUAAAAAGCAAGAAAAUGUAAUAAAUUGUGAACAAGUAUGGGAUGAAAAAUAAUUGGCUUCUAUUUAGAGAAAAAGAUAGGACCAAACUUAGAUCGGGGCAUCAAGGAAAGAUUCUCUGAGGAAGUGAGAUUUGAAGUGAGUCCUGUGGGAUGAGGUAGAACAAAGCAGUUGAAGAAGAGAGUAAACAAUAGAAGACUAGAGUGAAAAAGCAUUCUGGACAAUGAGAAUGGCCCAUCCAGCAUCCCAGAGAUUGGAAAAGGCUUAGCACCUUUCAGGACCAAAGAAGAUCCAUGUGACCAGAGUGUCGUGAACAAGGAGAGAGUAGAAUGCCUUACAGUUAUGAGGUAGCCCUGUCACCUCUACCACCAAAAUGGCUUGCAAAUGUAUCUCCAGGGCACUGCCAUUUCCAGGCUAUACCACCACCUUUGCCCUGGCCUUCCUGCCUCCGCUCUACCCCUCUUCAACCCUCUCUUCACACAGAGCUGAUAUUUCUGGAACGUUAGUCACAUUAAUUACACCAUCUCUCUGCUUGGAACCCUUCAAAGGCAUCCUAUUACACUUGAAAUAAGAUUUAAGUGUCUGGACCCUUGGGACAGACUAAGAGUCAUGUCCUAGUUCCACUACUUUUUGUGGUGCUCAAUUUGCUCAAGCUCAGUUUCUUCAUCUUUGUAAUGGGAAUAAAAAUAAUCUGCAUAACAUGGGAGUGUUCAUGUAGAUUAAAUGAGAGAAUUCAUGUUAAACAACAUAAUUCCUGAUUUGCAAUAAUCACAUAAUAAAUGUUGGCUGUCAUUUUCAUAAUCAUUAAGAAAAUGACCAGGGUUUCUAUUGAAAUUGUUCCAGGUAGGUUUGAAUUUAAGUCGGAAUUGCAGAAACCUUGCUAUGGAGCCCCUUCCCUUUAAAUUUACUUGGAGUUCUAAUAAAAACUCUAUCCUAUGAUCACCGGUUUCAAACAUGAUGCCAAUCUAUCUCACUUUUAAUUUUUUAUUAACAUGGUAAGAUAAUCUAUAUCUUAUAGGAUAGAAUCAGAAUACGAAAUUUUUCUUCUAGGACUCUCUUUCUGUAUAGCUCUCCUGGCUCUGACCAAUCUUUUGCUCUAACUCUAUUCUUUGAAUUUCUAUCUCUUACCUUAAACAAUGUCUUCUACACCUUAUUCAUUAUUCCAGGGGUCAGCAAACUAUGUUCAGCCCAUCCUUUGUUUUUAUCAAGUUUUAUUGGAACAAAGCUAUGGUAGACAGACUCCCAGUCAUCCCUGCCUUUUGGUAUUCACAUCUCAGUACAGUCCUCUGUCCUCGACUGUGGGCACCACCUGUUACUUGUUUCUAACCAUGCAAAUGUGGCAAAGGAAAUGGGGUGUCCCUCCCCUGGUUGUUGCAUUAUGUAAAACUCUAUUGUGCCGUGAAACUUACUCUAGGGAUUUUUUCCCUUGUUGGCUUGGAAGAAGCAAGUGGCCAUAUGGUGAGGAACUGUGGGUGACCUCUAGGAGCUGAGGGCAACCAGCAGCUGGCAAGAAGCCGAGGCCCUCUGCCGGCAGCCCCACAGCCACGGGAAAUAAAUCGACAAACAACACAAAUGAGUUAGGAAGUGGACUCUUUCCCAGUCAAGCCUGCAGAUGAGAAUGUAGCCCCAACUGACCAUGAUCGCAGCCUUGUGAGAUUCCACGGGAAGGACUCAGACUCCUGACCCAUGGACUAAAACAUAGAUCUGGAGCUGGGUCAGCUUUGACUGAGCAGACGAGGAUAAUGCCAUAAGGGGUAGGGAGCAACAAGAUGGCAGGAAGCUGGGUUCCCGAAUGUCCUGUGGAGCAGAGCUGCUAUUAGGUGCUAGACAAGCUGCCGUCUCUACACCAUCACAUGAGGAAUUCAACGUCUCCUAGUAUGUCCUGUACUUUCCUUGUGUGAUCCAAAAUGAUCAGGGGAGUAAUCAAAAAUCAGCAAGUUUGGAUGCAUCUCCUUUCUGGACUCGCGGAUGACCCAGCGCAGGCACGCCUCACCCCACAGGCUUGGAGGACUCUGGGAACGGCCACCUUGGCUAGAGAAAAACCAGCUACAGAGGAUCGGUUCACUUCUCUUCAGUUUCUCUCAAGAAUGUUGGCCCGUUAUCCUCUCAGAAAGGAGAUCAGGACUGGAUAUGCUAUCAGAAUUCAGCGCUGGGCAAUUUAUUGGAUGAAAUAGCUCUAAGAAUUGCUGCUGAGGUCUCUCCGGCAGUGGAUUCUCUUUCCAAAAUCCUGAUAUGUUCCAGCCAGAGCUGUUCACAGUUCUGCAGGGUGGAAAUCUGAGGUCACGGUGCCAGCAUGAUCAAGAGCCCUCUCCCAGACUGAAGACUUGUGUCCUCACAUGGUGGAAGGAGGAGAAAGAAUGGCUGCAGAGAAUUACAAUGUUGUGCUGAGCCAAACUAGCAUCAAAGUUGAAGGGCAGAAUAAAAUCCCUGGCAUGCAAGGACUCGACCCCCACAGACCCUCUCUGAGCAGAUACACUCGACUGUUUCUAGCAAGAAGAAAAGUCACCCUGAGAAAGUGAUGAAGUCACAGGAAAGUGGAUGCUCCUCAAGCACAGAAUUUUCUGGGUGACCUUUCCGUAAGAAUUGCAUGCAAAUGUCCCAGUGGAAGGUCGUGAUUGGUCUGGAAAGGUUAUCUCCAUUCGUCUAGAUGACCGUCUUCACAAAAGAAGAAAGUUCAGAACUGCGGGCCCGGCCCCGGGCAGCCUUGAAGCCAUGGGGGAGGAAGGUGGCAUUGACCGUGGACCGUCUCUGUGCAUCUGAAGGAUGGAGCUGCCGGCACAGGCAGGAAUGUAGAUCCCCGUUUGGCCACUUAGUGGCUGGGCACAGGACUUUAUCUCCUGCGACUCAGGCUCCUGGUCCCUCAGUGGGGAUCAUAGUAACUAAUGAGGCUUAGUUGGGAUGAGGCGCCGAGGUACCAGCACCAGCAUACUGUACCUGCCCAGAGUGAGUGUCUGCUACUUUUCAUCCUCACGGAAGAGCAUCAGGCUCACAUUUUCACUUCCCAAACUGGGGGAGCUCAGGCAGAGGGGGGUCACGUCCUAUAGCAUCAUCCUCGAUGUGAGCCACAACUUUCUGCCUCCCAUCCCAGACGCACAGUCCUCUAGCUGGCUGGGUUGGGGCCUUUUGCACCCUGACUUCUGCUCCUUUGCCGCUGUCCUCCCCCUCCCUCCCCUCUCCGCCUGUCCUCACGUGCUGGUGGAGGUCCCACUCCUCUGCGGAGCCUCCCCCAAGUCCCCCAGAAGGAUUCCUAGAACAUCAUUAGCACCACUUGUCUCUUAGCCAGUGUAACACGGUGACACUAAUUAGCUGCUGCUGAAUCCACAGCGCCUCUUAAGCCAGGGGGCACGAGGGGCUUUCUCUGGGUCUUUACAUUUUCCUCACUACCCAGCCCAGGGCCGGGCUCAAAAUAGGUGCUCAGUCAACGGAGGCUAAUGCACAGAGCGCUGUAAAAAUACAGAGUGGCCUGAAAACUGGCCAGAAGACCAGAGGUCAUCGGGAUUGUGUCUGGAAUGGACUGAGCACCUUCUAGGCCCAAGAAUGGGGCAGUGGACAAAACACACAGAGAACGAGAAUGCACGCACGGCGCUGGGACCGGCAGUUCUUCCACUGGUGGGAGUGAGGGACGCGGAGGGGAAAGGUCACCAUGCUCUUGACAGGUAUCAGGGUGGUUUGUACUCGAGCUGCAUUGGCGCUACAGUCCCCUGAAUGCCCUGUCCUGUAUGGUUCCAGGUGAGCCCUGGCCUCAUGAGGCCAAAAUUGGGAAGCGCAAGGUAGAGCAAGAACCGGAGUUCUCAAGCUCCGAAUGUGGUGCGGGGCGACCAGCUACCAAAUGGGCUUGUGCACACUGCCGCUGGCGCCGCCGGCUAACCCGGGGGGUGCGGGGCAGCCCCUGGCUCUGGGAGUCUUCUAGCUCCCACCAGACCUCCUGCAACUUCUCCAGGUCCAGCUCUGCAGCGCGGGGAGCCAGCCUGUGCUGCAGGUCACCCGCGGCAUCAAGGUGACAAAGGCAAAGCGGGUUCCACUCCCCCUGCAGGUUCCGGUUGUCCUGUGAGCCUCGGCUCCCCUCCGCGAUUCUAGUUUGUUCUUGCUGUCGCCCACAUCCCGCUUCUCAACUGAUGACCUGGCUGACCUCUAGUCAUGCACCCCCAGUCCAGUCCAGCAUAGAUCUAGCCCCUGCACAUGCUACAGAUCCUUCCUUGGGAGAUCAACCACAACGGUUCUGCCUCUCUGAUUCAACGCCGCCUGAUCCCAGGGGCAGAGCAGAUCACAUUUGCAGACCCUCCUACCGACAGGUACAGGGCUGGCCAUGCCUUGUUGCCUAAGGGGUUUCACGUGCACUGAGUCAGCAUGGACCCUGAAAAUCUCCAUCACAGAGGUGAGGGACUGGGGUGCCCAGCGCUCCCUGUCUCCCCUGGGCCGUUCAGGUCGGGGCUGGGGUUGAUGCAGAAGUGGUGGGACUUACUCAUGCGCGUGACCAGCGCUGGAGGAACAACCUGAUCAUCAAGGAAUGGGUGUGAGAAAGAUCCCAAAGGUGCUCCAGGUGGCCAUGACUGGCAGGGAGAGGUGCACUGCUUUCCUUUUGGUCCAGCAGAUGGUUGCCUGGCUUCCGUGAGAGAUGCCUGGGAAUCCCAUUUCCCAGAUUCAGGGGAUGCAUUUGCUUUCAAAGCAGCAGCAACGACAGCUGGACCUGGUCCUCGAACAAGGAUGCGCGGGUGCCUGCUGGGGCCACAAGGAUUUUCAUAGGAGUUGGCCCUUGGCAUGCAGCAUUGGAGGGCGCUUUCGCGCGGGGCCAAACAUGGUGCCCCAGAGCAGCAAGGCUGCGGGGAUCCCAGGCAGGUCGGGAUGAGGAAAGACAUCCAAAAUGGAUGUAAAAUAUGCAACAACAUAUAUAUUCACAUGAGGAGAACACAGGGACGUGGAGAAAGGAAAGAAAUGGAAACCGUAAACCUCCCAAGACGCUGGGUUCUAGAGUGAUAAAAUGAAACCCUAUGUCUGUCAUCAGAGUGCCAUAAUUUUAUCAUCCUUCCCACGCAGUGCUGUGCUAUUUUGGGUCCUGGUUUGUUGGUUUUGUUUUUGUUUUGUUUUGUUUUUUCCCCUCUCUCACCUCUGUGUGCCCAAGAUGUCUGACAAACAAACGUGUAAGAAAAUGCUUUAUGUUCCCCAGCACGGAUGGAGAAUUUAUUACAGGAAACGCCUCUCCGAGCUGCCUCCCCGGGGUCAUCAUGCUCUGCCCUGUAAAAAGAUCUCAUCUGAGAGCAUAAGCCUAAUUAAUUUGCCCAUGAUGGUCUUGUGCCCGGGGAACCGAAACCCUGUUGCUUUUCACUCGGAGGAUUCUUUCUCUAAGCCACAGAUCCAAGCCAAAUGGAAAAAACCUGCCAGCCUCCCUUCUUGCAAAGACAAUGUGCCUCCCCUCCCCCGACACAGUGUCCACGCUUUCUCUGUCCUGCUUUGUCUAAUUUCCUUUGUAAAAGGGGGGGGGGAAGAACAAAAAAGGCAAAACAAAACAAAAGAAAGAAACUUGGAACUCUUUUGAGGACAAGGAAGGAGAAGCCAGAGGAAGUUGGAAGCAUUUGAUGUUAUGGGAUUACGAUCUGUUCACCUAAGUGAGUUACUGAAUCAAAUGAACAAUCCAGAGCCUGUAGAAGCCACCGGUCAGCCUUAACCGUGCCACGCCUUCCCUCUUGGCCUUUCCAGCCAGGCCUCCUCUGCUUCGGGACAUCUGCAACCCUCUACCUGGGCACCUCUUCCCGCCUUGGAUGAUGCAGGAGCUGCAGGCUGCGCCCCGCAGGCUCUGGGAGGGGUCUCCCCACUGCACCUGCGUUGUCUGGGCAAGUAAGCGAGGGGCCAGCCCACCUUGGGGGACAUCAGUCUGCCUGGAGCCCUGAGGCGGGGACACCCCUGCACAGAGCCCACUGGAGACUAGGUUGUUCUGGCAAUGGUAUUUGCAGCCACAGGCCCGGCCAUGAAACUUAAGGAGAAAGAAGCUGCCAUCCAUCUCCAGUAGGGAGGGCCCGGGACAGGGCAGUAGGCUGGUCACCAGCCAGCCCGAACAGCCAUCUGCUGCGAUCAAAUCAUUUCUCCUUGGAACAUGGUGACACUUCACCGUAAGAAGGGAACUGAGCCAUUUUGGGACAUCGGCUUGGGCCCAUUCCAGCUCUAGUAAUAAAAAGUUCUGUUUCCCCGGGAGGGUUUAUGCAGUGAGAGCAAAAGGGCUACGGCCAGGCGCCCCCAACCCUCUCAUUUGUCCUCCAGUCCCCAGGCAGAUGCUCUCAUAUCCUGCCAUUUAUAUGCUUCUCUGUGAGGGAGUCAGACCUAAAUGAGCCCCACAGUCUGCUCGGAAGAUUUAUUUUGCAAUAUAAAAUGCAUGACCUCCUCUCCCUAAACCACCUUCAAUCCUGCCUCACGUGAUUCCCCUUGAACUCUUUACCUGGACGUUUACCAUUCCUGGGCAAGCUCUGUGUUUUCUCUGUGUCUUCUAAGACCACAGCAUGUCUACACGGAGAUCUCCUCCAACAUUUCAGUUCCCCAAACGCAUCCAUUCUUAAGUUUGGGCACAAAUGCUACAUCCUCCUUGAAGCCUUGGCUGAGACCCCAGUGCUCCUGCCCCCUCCAAGAGGGGAUCUUCUUUUUUAGAUUUCCCUAGAAUUCCCCUAUUUGUGGUAGCCUAUUUUAGGGGUCCCAUUCAUUUCUGCACCAUUUAGUGGUUUCUAGCUACAUGGUACAUUAUUAAGUACAUGGAUUCUGGAGGCAGAUUUUCUGGGUGCAAACCUGAGCUUAGGUAUUUACUGUGUGACCUUGGGCAAAUGGUUUAACCUGUCUGUGCAUUAGUUUCUCCAUUUGUGAGAGGGGGAUAAUAACUACCACGUAUGACUGUUGUACAAAUUAAAUGAGCAAAUUUAUGUUGUGUGAAACUAUUACUAGCAAUGCUCAGGAAAGGUGGUUGUGUUUAUUACCAUUAUUGUUAUUAUUAUUAUUAUUAUUAUUAUUGUGGCAGGGGUCCAUCCUGUCUAUCUACCACAUAGCGUUUUGCAUAUUGAUGCAUGUUUAUUUAUAAAUAAGUAGAUGGCCAAUGGAUCCAUAAGACUUCCAUUCCUUACAAGUUGAUCCCAUUUUCCUCCAUUAGUUUUGAGUUACAUGGGACUUGAUCAAACUGAUUUGGACUUUACAUGGUAUUAUGAACACACUUUGUAAAUAUAAUGUAUGAGAUGAUCAUUCUUUCUACCUCAGCAUGCCAUCUCAUGCUGCCACUGCCCAGAGGCAAUAUCGAGAUGCUCUUGAUGGCAUUGUGUGGAGGUGACAUAAAGCCACUCCUGGCCCUCUACGCAUCCAGAGUUCAAAUCAAGCCUUCUAACAAUAGGUGAAUAAUAAACAAAUCAGGGCACCUGGGUGGCUCCAUUGGUUAAGCAUCAGACUCUUGAUUUUGU
Molecule: non-coding RNA, 7908 nt
Organism: Callorhinus ursinus (northern fur seal)
Lineage: Eukaryota; Metazoa; Chordata; Mammalia; Carnivora; Otariidae
Source: RefSeq, a predicted model, not a curated record